CUAACAAGGAUUCCCCUAGUAACUGCGAGUGAAGCGGGAAAAGCUCAAAUUUAAAAUCUGGCGGUCUCUGGCUGUCCGAGUUGUAAACUAGAGAAGUGUUAUCCGUGCUGGACCAUGUAUAAGUCUCCUGGAACGGAGCGUCAUAGAGGGUGAGAAUCCCGUCUUUGACAUGGACUACCAGUGCAUUGUGAUAUGCUCUCAAAGAGUCGAGUUGUUUGGGAAUGCAGCUCAAAAUGGGUGGUAAAUUCCAUCUAAAGCUAAAUAUUGGCGAGAGACCGAUAGCGAACAAGUACCGUGAGGGAAAGAUGAAAAGAACUUUGGAAAGAGAGUUAAACAGUACGUGAAAUUGUUGAAAGGGAAACGCUUGAAGUCAGUCACAUUGGCUGGAGAUCAACCUUGCUUUUGGAAGGUGUACUCUCUGGUUGAUGGGUCAGCAUCAAUUUUGACCAUUGGAAAAAGGUUAGGGGAAUGUGGCAUCCUUGGAUGUGUUAUAGCCCUUGAUUGUAUACAGUGGUUGGGAUUGAGGAACUCAGCACGCCGCAAGGCCGGGUUUUUACCACGUUCGUGCUUAGGAUGCUGGCAUAAUGGCUUUAAUCGACCCGUCU
RNAcentral lists this ribosomal RNA (605 nucleotides) under Pluteus cervinus. RNAcentral describes it as "partial large subunit ribosomal RNA". It matches the Rfam family "Eukaryotic large subunit ribosomal RNA", at positions 65 to 654 of the family's 3401-position model. Lineage: Eukaryota; Fungi; Basidiomycota; Agaricomycetes; Agaricales; Pluteaceae. The record is from RNAcentral.